CGGAGAUAAGAACACAUUCGUCGUGUCAACAAAAUCACCGUGACACGCGAGGACUCUCGAAAUUUCUUCGAACGUAACACGCGCGCGUUCUGCCGAACAAAUAUCAAAGAAGACAAAUAAAUAAGUGAAAAGAAAAAGAAAGAGAAACAGAGAGGAACGAUAUUAAAGUCGAGAACGCGCAUCCCUUCGGGUUUUAAAAAUAGAUUCGGAUGGAAGCGUGAUAUUUUUAGCGUGUUUCAGAUCGCGUACAAUAUUCUUUGCGGUAUAGAGAAGUUCGUCUUCUUCGAAAUCGCGUUUUGUCCCUGUCUUCUUCCGUGGAACACAAUUCUCUGCAACAAAAGAAAAACAAAACGGACGCUUAGAGACAGAGGCAGAGUCUUCGUUCUUAUGUAUCUAGAUCGUGUGGCAUUCAACCGAGAGAAACUAUACACAACACUGUGUACUUAGGUGUAUACGUGUCUGUCGUGUACUCGAUGUUGUAUACGUGUAUAUACGUGUAAAUAAAUAAAGAAUGAUUUACGUUCGAUUUACUCGACGCGCGUAACGCGAUCCACUAUUUCGGACAGAAAAUAGUUCGAUACGCGGGGCGGUCGUUAUUUCGUGCGACAGUAAAUCGUCUCGUCGACACAGCGCAGUGUGUGCGACCGUGUUGCUGAAAAGGAAACUUCGAAUAACAUCGGAAACGAUCAAACCGGAGACACAGUUGGAAAAGUGAGUGCGGCAAACUUACAUCGGUCCUAUCAACUAAUCGCCACUCGUUAUGUCGUCGAUUAGUUGACGAGGACUUUCUGCUGACGGUUAACGGUCGAACACAGGCGGGGCGGGAAGGGGGAAAAAGGAACAACGAUUUAUCGAGGUAAAAGUAAGUUUAACGACGACCAAAUUGAUCCCGUUCGUUCUGAGUUUUGCGCCGGGUGAAAACGAGUGUUACCAAAGUUAUCGCGACUCCUUUUUUCCCCGACGGUUUUUCUCGUUUUGCGUAGCGACACGUUAACGCUAAACACGUGAGUAUCACGCGUUCGCGAACGAGUACGCGCUUACGUGCAACGUACCGGUGACUUUCAACGACGCGAGCCGCACGUUUCCGUGAUUCGAGAUCGGUAACAUACAAGAAGGGGCAGAGAUGCUCGGACGUUUUAUUGAAAAUUUCAAGUUCUCCAAAAGCAUCGAUUUUAUAUUUAAGCAUCCAGUUUUGAACGUUAUAUUAUUCUGUUGAAAUUCGAAUUAACAAGAUUACCGAAUCACGCUGAUGAUUCGGUAAAAUCGCGUUAAGAGCACAUCAAAUCCGAAGCCUAAUAACGUACCAUGUAAUGCAGGAGGUACGGUUUUGUUUACUUUCACGGUCUAACUAUACAUUUCUGUCCCUCAUUCUAUGUACACAGUGAGCGACGCGCCUAUAUACAAUCACAUCCUCCCUCCCCUCUUCCUUUCCUGGCUUAUUCAGUGAGAUUUUCCCUGUUGUUUAACCGGCACAGAACGAUUAGUUUCAAAAAGGCAAGAAAGAGUUGGCUUCCAUGUAUAAUGCAACUGUAUUUCGAGUAACGAUACACUUUCAAUAUAGCUGGCGGUAAGUAUUUUAUAUUCUAAUGUGCUUAUCUUAUGCGCAAAUAUAACAAAAUAAAAGUUGCAAACAAUUCUAUGGAGGAGACACUUGGACGAAGCAAAGUCUUUAACCGAACACCCGGCCAAAGAAGUCGCCUUUAUCGCGGUGCAGGAAAAGGUGGCACACGUCACAGUGGAAAGGCAUAAUUUGUGUUUCAAAUGCACUUGCAUCCUUUUCUAAUAUUGCGGUCACAUUGCGGUGUUGUGUCUAAUUUAAAAUUGCAUUAGAACGCAUAACUUGAAAGCGUCGUGGAAAUUUUCAAUAAUUAAAAGACCAACGGAUGAACCAUUGAAAACGCAUGAAAUAAUGUUUCUUACCUAAACACGCAGCGGCUCAUUAUUAACGGCAUCAACGUUUCAGGCGCACAGACUUCCGAUCCUCACGGGAACGUGAAAACGCACGUAAAAAAAUACACAAAUCUCUUGAAUUUUUGUAACACGCGCCUGGCGUUACAAAGUUACAUAAAAUUGGACGAUCAAAGGUCACAAAUCACAUAAAAUUGCAAGACUUAAUUGUAUCUUGGAACAUAAACAUAUACAAAUGAAUAUUAAUACAUGAUAUCGUAAGUAAACGUGAUAUUGUUAAAUAAACAAUUUAAUGAAACAAGUUCCCCGAUAGUAAUGUUUUUCAACUGAUCAUAAAUUCAACGUUUAUCAAGAAAAUAAAAUCAUACCUGUUGAAUCAUAAAUGCAGCAAAAUAACAUACCUGUAUCCAUAUUCUCGAAGAAGAAUUCCUAGGAUGGGAGGAAGGAAUAUCGAACCUAGUGCACUACCAGAUAUGCAGAGACCAUUUGCAAGCCCUCGUAGUCGUACAAAAUAAGAAGUUACAAUGUACACGGUUGGCGGGAAAGCUAAUCCUGCUCCUGUUCCUACCAGGACUCCAUAACUAAAAAUAAAACAAGGAGAUUAAAUUAUAUCUUUUUGUCUGAAGAUUAUAAAUAUUAAAUAAUAUUUGAUUUAUCAAGCAAUAUAUUAAAGCUUCUUUCCUUUUUCAUGUAAUUACCUAAUGCACAAAAAGGCCACAGAAUUCGCAAAGUAACUUAACAUCAUUCCCACAGCUGCAAAUGUUCCGCCAAGAAGUGUUACAGUUCGAUAGGAAUAUUUCACUGACAGCACACUGGAAAGUGGACCUACAACAAGAAUCGCAUAAAUUUAUCUUUCAGUUCAAAGUAAACGAAAUUCAAUGAUACUUCUGGAAAAUUAGUUACCCAGGGAACUGUACAGAAAAUAACACAGAGCUGGUAUCCAAGCAGCUGCAGCAGGUGACGCGUCGAAAACCUCAAGGAAUUCAACAAACAAGACACCAAAAGAUUUCACUGUCCCUGGGAUGAGAAGAUUGACCAUGACAGACGCUAAAAGUACAAGCCAUCCCCAUCCUCCAUCUGGUGGGACUAACUCUUCCUCGG
Nomia melanderi (Alkali bee) is the source of this 3009-nucleotide long non-coding RNA. RefSeq lists it as uncharacterized. The record is from RefSeq and is a predicted model, not a curated record. Lineage: Eukaryota; Metazoa; Arthropoda; Insecta; Hymenoptera; Halictidae.